RNAcentral lists this non-coding RNA (30 nucleotides) under Rattus norvegicus (Norway rat). The record is from RNAcentral. Lineage: Eukaryota; Metazoa; Chordata; Mammalia; Rodentia; Muridae.
UGUUCUUUUGAGAUGUGUUGGUUGGAGCCA